RNAcentral lists this non-coding RNA (116 nucleotides) under Burkholderia humi (ex Srinivasan et al. 2013). RNAcentral's name for it is "Burkholderia humi TPP sequence". It matches the Rfam family "TPP riboswitch aptamer (THI element)". Rfam says of the family: Vitamin B(1) in its active form thiamin pyrophosphate (TPP) is an essential coenzyme that is synthesised by coupling of pyrimidine and thiazole moieties in bacteria. The record is from RNAcentral. Lineage: Bacteria; Pseudomonadati; Pseudomonadota; Betaproteobacteria; Burkholderiales; Burkholderiaceae.
UCGACGAAACAGGGGUGCUUCGCACGCGUUCAGGCAGGACGACGCGGCGAGGCUGAGAGAAACCCUUUGCACCCGAUCCGGGUAAUACCGGCGAGGGAAGUUUCCGGAAAACGGUC